RNAcentral lists this long non-coding RNA (5400 nucleotides) under Marmota monax (woodchuck). The record is from RNAcentral. Lineage: Eukaryota; Metazoa; Chordata; Mammalia; Rodentia; Sciuridae.
CAUAUUUGUAGCUAAUAAUAUUAUUUCAUUUUAAUUAUGCAGGAAAUACCAUACUCAUUUAUUACAAUUUGAUGGUGAAGGAGGUUGGCGCUUUGAACAAUUGGAUACUGCUAUCCGUUUAACAUUGAGUGAAGAAAAACAAAAGCUAGAAUCUCAGCUAGCCGGAAUUCCCAAAAUGCAGCAGAGACUCAAUGAACUAUGUAAAAUUUUGGGAGAAGACUCAGUGCUGAAAACAAUCAAAAAUGAAGAUGAAAUAUCCUAAUUUAUUUUGACAUGUUUUUAGUUAAUUUUUUGGUAAAGGCUCAAGAGACACUCUAUUAUAGUGCAUGCACUGUGUUAAGCUAAGCACAGAAAAAACAAAGCCAGCAAGAAAUGUUUUAUAUUAUUUUAGCAUCAAGGAAGUAUAUAAUCUAACUUUUCAGAGGAAAAUAAACAAAUGUAUCAUGUAAGAUUAGUCAUUAUGACUUAUACUAAUUCCUAGUGGAAGCCUAAUUCACCUGCAAAACAAGAUUUUCUAGGUGAAUUCUUGAUGAAUAGAAUAAUACCAGGUUUUUCUGUAUGUCAUAUGUCUGAAGUUCUUAACAUGGAAAUAUCUUGGAAAUGAAGCAAUUUAAGAGCACCAUUUGGGUUGAUACCGGGGACAUAAAAAUAGAGCAUUGAGAACCAUUUAAGUCCAUUCAUCAAUGAUAUACUAGGUUUAUUAGCUAGAAUUAAUUUACAUCAUUGCUAGAGGCCAACUAAACCUAUAUAAAAAUAGCUGACAGUUUAAUAAUUUCAGUAUGAAAAAAAUUAUUUUAAUGGCAGUGGUUGAAAGAAAAAGGCAUGGCUAAAUAAGUAUAAAAUACCACAAUUCAAAAAUUUUAGGCUUUGAGCAUCUCAAUGCAAACAUAAAAAAUCUAAUCAGAAUCUUGCAUAUUUAAAAGAGAAUUGCCAAGACAAAAAAGGCAUAUCCAAAUGUUUGCCUCAUUCUGUUACUUUACUUGGCAGAAUAAUCUAUUACAAUUCUGUCCAGAAAUACUGUUUUUGUGUCCAAAGGAGGAGUCCAAAAUUUUAGAAAUGUGCUGUAAUAUAGAGAUUAUGAAAGUCACAAUAAUAUUAGCAAAUAUUGGAAUAUAAUACUUUAUAGUUCACAAUUCUCAUUUAUAUAAUUUCAUUUUAAUGUUUGUAGCAGUCUUUUGAGACAUUAUUUUUUCUAUUUUCCUUUUAAGAAAAUUGACACUCAGAUUUACCUAAUCAUGUAAUUUAUUUACAAACAGAUCCAGGAAACAAAAGAAGUUCUCCUGACUCUUCAAUCCAGUGUGAUUACUACCAUUGUUCUUUAAAAUUCACAGGGCUAUAAUAUCAAUAAAAAUUAGGAGUGAGCUAUAGAUUGCAGGGAGUGGGACUUCAGGAAGGGAAGGGGGUGAAAGCAAAAAAUACUAGAAAUAAAAUUUAGAUGAGAAAAGAAAAUAUGUUUUGUAAUGUUAUUAUUAUUUGGUAACGGUUCAUAAGAAAUGAAAAUUAUCUGGAAAGGUCAUUGGUCUAUGGUUUAAAAUGAGCCAAGGAAGGUAGCAAAUUUUUCAGCAACUGUGCUCUUACUCAAUAUUGAUAUACCUCCAAGACUUCAGCAAUUAGAAUGGCAGUUAGUAGUGUUUAGGUACUUUAAUAUUAUUGAAUAUAAUGACAAAUAAUCUACAUGGUUUAGUCAUUUGAAAUAGAUUCUUAUCUAUUGUGUGCCUUGGAGUUGGAAGUACAAGAGCCAGGACUGAUACUUUAAUCACUUGCUCUCUAUGCUACCAUGUUAAUGGGCCAUUAAAAAUUGGAAUGAUCAGUUGUUAGUGGCUUAGAAUUUUAUUUGCAUAUUUAGACACAGCCAUCAUGAAUGCCAAGUCAGUGAUUCUUAAGCUUUUAUAGGAGAUAGAAUACCUGGAAGUCAUAAAUGAUGAGAUGAUUGUUGUAGAACCUCAUAGCACUUCCACAUUUUUAGUUCUCCAUGAUAACUAGGACAUUUUAAAUUACAAUAAAUGUUCCCAUCUUACAUGAAAUAAUGCAACAUAAGCGUCAAAAUCAGUAUAUUUGUACAAGUUUUUCUUUUAGUAUCACUAACACUGAUUUAUUCAUUUAUCUAUUACUAGUAUCUUAUUAGAAAAGUGAGGCAGGUAUUCAAGAGUUUUUAGAAAAAGCAUAGAACCAAACUUAAUAAAAAUUAUUCCUUAGUCUUAAGAGCUAUAUUAGCAGUUAUCAGUUUAUACUGCUGUAAGGAGAAAACUUUGAGGCCAAUGACAUGUUAACUUUAAAAAUACAAAAAAGAAAAGCUCUUAUUUGAAACAUGAAUAAAUUUUAUGCCUUAACUUUCAUAAUUUAAAAAUUAAACACUUCAGACCUAAUAUUGUGUAUUUUGAAACUUUGUAAAGAAUGCCAAUACAAAUAUACCUGAAGUUAAUCCUUACUUAAUAUAUACUAACAUACUGAAAUAAAAAAGACUCAUUUAGUAUACAGAACUCAAGGAUGUUUCAAAUUCUUUAUUAAAAACUCCAUACAUUAUAGUUUAAAUGUUGAAGUUCUAAGAGAAAGAGGUUUUCUGUGAGCUUUUUUGUGUGUGCCUAUAUAUAUUUUUUUAAUUCUUCCUCAGGACCAAUAACCUCUAAUUUGGAGAGAAAAAAAUAUCUCAUGAAUUUGUAUUUAUAUACCAUUCAACUGCUUCCAAAUGGUCCUAUGGGUAUACCAUAUGAUUACUCUUCUUAUAGCUACAUUUUGUGAAAAACAUGAAGAAGAUUGAGAAACUCAAUAGCAUCUUUGAAUAUAACAAAUAACAAAUGAAGGAAGGGAAAAGAAAUAUUUCAAUUUUCAAGCUAUUUGCCCAAACUUUUGACUUAUCUUUAUUUUUAUUAAAAUAGGCACCUAAUGAGCUUUAUUACAAAAUAUACAUUUUGGGGUUAACUUUUACUUGUGGAAAAUAAGCUUCAUCCUAUCAAAAUACCACAUUAUUUUUCUACAGCAUAUAAGCUGUUAAGCCCAGCAUGAAUCUAAAAUAGUUUGUGCUCUUAUAAACAGGAUAAUGUCUAAAAAUCCCUUGAAUAAUCUUAAGGAGAAUGAUAUAUCUUGAAAAUCAACCCAAGUUUUCAUUGUUUACAGUGGAAAUGGUUUCCCCUUGAUAGUAAUUUGAUUUUUGUUUCAAAUAUAGUUCUGUCAGUAAAAGCAUAAAUGAACACGUGAGUUUUUGAAACAUUGGUUCCAAGUAUAAUUUCAUAUUUUGGCAAUAUGCUUAGCUUAUUACAAUAUUUGGAAUGAUUUUUUGAUUCUGUAAGCCUGAAAAAAUCUGUUACACAUUGGAAUCCAAAUCCAGAGAAUGUAGCAUACUUCUGAGAUGUGCAUAAAGUGAUAAGUUGUUAAAUUAUUUAGUAAAAGAGAUGCUUUAAAAUAAUUCUGAGAAAAAAAAUGAUUCUCAUUCGAAAGUAUAAAUUACUUUCAAAUUUAUCCAUGCUAUUUAUAGUUCUGGUGAUAGACAUCUGAAUAUGCUGAAUAUGUUUUGCAGUUGUAAAUCUAAUAUUUACCACAUGAAAGCUUUCUGGUGGAUAUAUCAAAUAUUUUUAUUAAAAAGAAAUCCCUUCUUCAUUGUUGGUAGCUUUCCUCAUUACAAAAUACAGAGGGGAUUUAUAGUUUUUAUUGUGAAAAUUUCAAAACGACUUGGCCACUUAUCAGCUAAAGUUGUGUUAAUGAAAGUGAAUGAGAAAAAAAUGUCCUAAUGGUAAAAAUCACUAUGUAGCUAAUCAAGAAUAUGGCUAUAUGUGAAUGCAUGGUAAUAAAGUCUCCAUCCAAUGUGUAGUUACUUAAGCUUACCAUUUCUUAAGAAUUCCCUAAUUAUCAUGACAAAGCCUUGAUUCAUCAAAGGCUUUACAAAUUAUUCCAGUGAUAUAAAAUGCCCUAUUUCUGCUUUCACUGACUGCUAUGAUAAUGUCUAAAUACACACCAGGUACAAGAUCAUAUGGUGCAAAACCUUGUGUAGUAUUAUGCAGAAGAGCCACCAAAUAGUUGAUUAAAUAUUAAUUUACUGUAUUCAUUCAAAACAUUUAUGAUGUUCUGACUUAUGAAUAAACAAAAUGUGGUACUUGUAACAAGAGUACAGUCCACUGAAAAUUAAAAAAUGAGAACCCUCAGAAAAACUCAAUAGCUACAAUUUUUAUUUACCAAGUAGGCACAAAGCAUUGCAUAUACACUAAGUAAAUCUUCGCAAAAAUUUUUUUUUUAAUUUUUUAUUGUUGGCUGUUCAAAACAUUACAUAGUUCUUGAUAUAUCAUAUUUCACAAUUUGAUUCAAGUGGGUUAUGAGCUCCCAUUUUUACCCCAUAUACAAAUUGCAGAAUCACAUCAGUUACACAUCCAUUGAUUUACAUAUUACCAUACUAGUGUCUGUUGUAUUCUGCUGCAAAAUUUUAAUGAAAGAGAAAAGUGAGGCCAGAACGGUUAAAUAAUUUAUCCAACUUCACAUAACAUCCAAGUUACAGAGUGAAAUUUGAACCUAACAACAUUUGAUUACAAAGUCUAUGUAACUUCACAGCGCCCCUUCUUAAUUAUUCUAGGCCAUUAUUCAUUAUUGCUAUUUUUAACUGAAAUUGUAAGUAUAAUUUUAACUGACUCAAGGUGUCUGGUUAGCAAACCAAUGCAUGUUUUUAUCUUAAAAGGAAAUUUACGUAGCACAACUUACAAUUGUUUUAUUACAAAUUAUGAGUGUUAUCCUAUGGAGCACGGAGGACAUAAGACAACUUUUCAAAUGUUUUGAGAAAGAAAUGUCUGAACUGAUUAUAAUUAAUUCACUCAGUUACACACACAUUCCAGUUACUAUACUUGGGAUUCAGAGAUGAGCAAGGCAUACCUGGUCUUAGAACUUGUGAAACAUGUUACUAGAUCUGGAUUAAAUAUUGUAAGCCUGUUGGAUGUUGUAGUUCCACAUAAAUGUCAUAUUUGUUUUGUGAUAUGUUUUUAGUUCUUGUAUGUCAUGCCUAAGACCAUUCUGUUGAAACCUUUAAGCAAUAAACAUUCUGACUGCAGGAUUUCCUUGAUUAUACACUGUGAGCUUCGUAACCCUCAUGCCCUCCAACUUGGUCUAAAUUAUAGGACCCAAUAAAACCAGUUUGUAGGACUGUGUUAUCCUUCCACCAGUAUGUGCGUGGUCCCAUGCAUUUAAAUGCUGUCUUGAAACUUGAGAAAUACCAUCUUCUUAAGUUCAAACCAUGUAAAAUGAAACAACUUUGUACUUUCAAAAAUAUGUGUCUUAUGUUAACACAAAAUGCAGAUGACCAUAGUAAGAAAGUUCUAAUAAAACUAAUAAAAAACUUUCAAAGUUAAGCAUAUUUUAAAGUUACAUUGUCUAUUUCACUACAUGUGACCCAAAAUAAAUUAAGUAUUCACCUUGUAUGUUUUA